Phascolarctos cinereus (koala) is the source of this 626-nucleotide long non-coding RNA. RefSeq lists it as uncharacterized. Lineage: Eukaryota; Metazoa; Chordata; Mammalia; Diprotodontia; Phascolarctidae. The record is from RefSeq and is a predicted model, not a curated record.
AGGCCAUCAAUUAGUCUCCAGGCCACAAACUCCACCACCUUCCUGAGUCCCGGGCAGCGCACAGCGAGUGGGUGCCAAGGUAAACGGAGCUGGCUGGAGCUUCCAAGAGGAGGGGACCGAGGAGGAGGGCUCCAGAGAAGAGAGAGGAGGCCUGGGAUUACAAAAUGGAGACUGCUGGAAUCGCGGAAGGAGUCCCAGAACCAAUGGAAGGGAGGAUGCCAGGAACCUGAAAGGCUAUGAGAAGACCUUCUCUCUUCCCAUCCAUCUGGUAGACCUGCAGAGGAACCUGGUUCUGAGGUGUCCUCACAGACUCCUCCAUUCCUAAAUCAAAUCUGCUGGCAGUCAGCACAUCACUUCUUUCUUGACAUAUUGUUGGCUAAGUUCAUGUGGGUGCCAGCCACGGAAGACCUUUAGGUUCCACUGCUGGAUCUAGGUCAUUUCAUCGGCUCCUUCCAGAAGUGAGCCACUAUGGGUUAUAUCUGACAAAUCUAACGCUUUCCAUUUCUGCCAAGAGGCUAGAGUUUCAGUCAAGUCCUUUGGUGAGAGUUCUGCUGCUCGUUACAUUAAAGGGGUACAAGCUUUCUGGUUUUCAUCUGAUACAGCCUGCAUUUUUGUUGUGUUGGACU